GCGAACAAGUACCGUGAGGGAAAGYUGAAAAGAACUUUGAAGAGAGAGUUCAAGAGUACGUGAAACCGUUCAGGGGUAAACCUGAGAAAUCCGAAAGAUCGAAUGGGGUGAUUCAACGCUGGCUGCGUCGGCUGCCGUGCGGCGCGCGAUGCGCGAGGGUUCGCUCUCGUCGCACGCGUCCGCUGCGGUAAGACCGAUUACGCCGGUGUGCACUUCUCCCCUAGUAGGACGUCGCGACCCGUUGGGUAUCGGUCUACGGUCCGGCAUGGUCGACUGUCGCGUAUCGUGAAAGCGAGCACACGGCAGACCGUCGGUGACCCGGCCGAUUGCCCGGCGGUAGUUGAUUGCUCUCAUUGAGGUAAUGGGCCGCAUUAAGUGCGUCAAGGCUCGUAGGCAGGCUCGUCUCGCUCGGUUAUCACGGACUAUGCGCCGUUGCCGAGCGCUUGACGCGGCCGUUCGUCUACGAUGUCCUCUGACUGGCUCUUGCGUUCGAACGGACGUACCGGUCGGCGACGCUACUGCUUCGGAUACUUUCAGGACCCGUCUU
Molecule: ribosomal RNA, 547 nt
Filed under: Orasema coloradensis
Lineage: Eukaryota; Metazoa; Arthropoda; Insecta; Hymenoptera; Eucharitidae
Description: partial 28S ribosomal RNA
Rfam family: Eukaryotic large subunit ribosomal RNA
Source: RNAcentral